Molecule: ribosomal RNA, 406 nt
Filed under: uncultured bacterium
Lineage: Bacteria
Description: partial 16S ribosomal RNA
Rfam family: Bacterial small subunit ribosomal RNA
Source: RNAcentral
ACGAACGCUGGCGGCUGCUUAACACAUGCAAGUCGAACGGAGUGGCGAACGGGUGAGUAACGCGUGAGCAACCUACCUAUGACAGUGGGAUAGCCUCGGGAAACCGGGAUUAAUACCGCAUAUGCAGAGAUGGGCUCGGGUCUGAUUAGCAAGUUGGUGAGAUAACAGCCCACCAAGGCGAGGAUCAGUAGCCGGUCUGACAGGAUGAACGGCCACAUUGGAACUAGGACACGGUCCAAACUCCUACGGGAGGCAGCAGUGGGGAAUAUUGCACAAUGGGGGAAACCCUGAUGCAGCGACGCGGCGUGAACGAAGAAGGUAUUCGUAUCGUAAAGUUCUGUCCUAUGGGAAGCAGUACCAUAGAAGAAAGCUCCGGCUAAAUACGUGCCAGCCGCCGCGGUAAUUC